Molecule: ribosomal RNA, 1368 nt
Filed under: unidentified marine bacterioplankton
Lineage: Bacteria
Description: bacterial SSU rRNA
Rfam family: Bacterial small subunit ribosomal RNA
Source: RNAcentral
GAGUUUGAUCAUGGCUCAGAUUGAACGCUGGCGGCAUGCCUUACACAUGCAAGUCGAACGGCAGCAUGAUCUAGCUUGCUAGAUUGAUGGCGAGUGGCGAACGGGUGAGUAAUACAUCGGAACGUGCCCUGUAGUGGGGGAUAACUAGUCGAAAGAUUAGCUAAUACCGCAUACGACCUGAGGGUGAAAGUGGGGGACCGCAAGGCCUCAUGCUAUAGGAGCGGCCGAUGUCUGAUUAGCUAGUUGGUGGGGUAGAGGCCCACCAAGGCGACGAUCAGUAGCUGGUCUGAGAGGACGAUCAGCCACACUGGGACUGAGACACGGCCCAGACUCCUACGGGAGGCAGCAGUGGGGAAUUUUGGACAAUGGGGGCAACCCUGAUCCAGCAAUGCCGCGUGUGUGAAGAAGGCCUUCGGGUUGUAAAGCACUUUUGUCCGGAAAGAAAUCGCACUUACUAAUAUUAGGUGUGGAUGACGGUACCGGAAGAAUAAGGACCGGCUAACUACGUGCCAGCAGCCGCGGUAAUACGUAGGGUCCAAGCGUUAAUCGGAAUUACUGGGCGUAAAGCGUGCGCAGGCGGUUGUGCAAGACCGAUGUGAAAUCCCCGGGCUUAACCUGGGAAUUGCAUUGGUGACUGCACGGCUAGAGUGUGUCAGAGGGGGGUAGAAUUCCACGUGUAGCAGUGAAAUGCGUAGAGAUGUGGAGGAAUACCGAUGGCGAAGGCAGCCCCCUGGGAUAACACUGACGCUCAUGCACGAAAGCGUGGGGAGCAAACAGGAUUAGAUACCCUGGUAGUCCACGCCCUAAACGAUGUCAACUAGUUGUUGGGGAUUCAUUUCCUUAGUAACGUAGCUAACGCGUGAAGUUGACCGCCUGGGGAGUACGGUCGCAAGAUUAAAACUCAAAGGAAUUGACGGGGACCCGCACAAGCGGUGGAUGAUGUGGAUUAAUUCGAUGCAACGCGAAAAACCUUACCUACCCUUGACAUGCCACUAACGAAGCAGAGAUGCAUUAGGUGCUCGAAAGAGAAAGUGGACACAGGUGCUGCAUGGCUGUCGUCAGCUCGUGUCGUGAGAUGUUGGGUUAAGUCCCGCAACGAGCGCAACCCUUGUCUCUAGUUGCUACGAAAGGGCACUCUAGAGAGACUGCCGGUGACAAACCGGAGGAAGGUGGGGAUGACGUCAAGUCCUCAUGGCCCUUAUGGGUAGGGCUUCACACGUCAUACAAUGGUGCAUACAGAGGGUUGCCAAGCCGCGAGGUGGAGCUAAUCCCAGAAAAUGCAUCGUAGUCCGGAUCGUAGUCUGCAACUCGACUACGUGAAGCUGGAAUCGCUAGUAAUCGCGGAUCAGCAUGCCGCGGUGAAUACGU